CCAGGUUGACCUCGGAUCAGGUAGGAAUACGCGCUGAACUUAAGCAUAUCAAUAAGCGCAGGAAAAGAAACCAACAGGGAUUGCCUCAGUAACGGCGAGUGAAGCGGCAAUAGCUCAAAUUUGAAAUCUGGCCUCUCGGGGUCCGAGUUGUAAUUUGUAGAGGAUGUUUCGGGUACCGCCCCGGUGUAAAUUUCUUGGAACAGAAUGUCAUAGAGGGUGAGAAUCCCGUCUUGAACCGGUGGUAGGGCCUAUGUGAAACUCCUUCGACGAGUCGAGUUGUUUGGGAAUGCAGCUCAAAAUGGGUGGUAAAUUUCAUCUAAAGCUAAAUAUUGGCCAGAGACCGAUAGCGCACAAGUAGAGUGAUCGAAAGAUGAAAAGCACUUUGAAAAGAGAGUUAAACAGYAUGUGAAAUUGUUGAAAGGGAAGCGCUUGCAACCAGACUUGGGCGCGGCGGUUCCCCCAGCCUUUUGGCUGGGCUACUCCGCCGCGCCCAGGCCAACAUCGGUUCUGGGGGUCGGUUAAAGGCCCCGGGAAUGUACCUMCCCACGGGUAGACUUAUAGCCCGGGGCGUCAUGCGGCCUCCCGGGACCGAGGAACGCGCUCGGCUCGGA
Molecule: ribosomal RNA, 611 nt
Filed under: Chaetothyriales sp.
Lineage: Eukaryota; Fungi; Ascomycota; Eurotiomycetes; Chaetothyriales
Description: eukaryotic LSU rRNA
Source: RNAcentral